This is an unclassified non-coding RNA of Pongo abelii (Sumatran orangutan), 147 nucleotides long. It matches the Rfam family "Metazoan signal recognition particle RNA". Rfam says of the family: The signal recognition particle (SRP) is a universally conserved ribonucleoprotein. It is involved in the co-translational targeting of proteins to membranes. Lineage: Eukaryota; Metazoa; Chordata; Mammalia; Primates; Hominidae. The record is from Ensembl.
GCUGGGUGUGGUGGUGAACACCUGUAGUCCCAGCUACUUGGGAGGCUGAGGCAGGAGGAUUGCCUGAGCCCAGGAGUUUGAGGUUGCAGUGAGUUAUGAUAAUGCCGCUGCACUCCAGCCUGGGUUACAGAGCAAGACCUUUCUCUC